UACGUAGGGUGCGAGCGUUGUCCGGAAUUACUGGGCGUAAAGAGCUCGUAGGUGGUUUGUCGCGUUGUUCGUGAAAACUCACAACUCAAUUGUGGGCGUGCGGGCGAUACGGGCAGACUGGAGUACUGCAGGGGAGACUGGAAUUCCUGGUGUAGCGGUGGAAUGCGCAGAUAUCAGGAGGAACACCGGUGGCGAAGGCGGAUCUCUGGGCCUUACCUGACGCUGAGGCGCGAAAGCUAGGGGAGCGAACAGG
This 253-nucleotide ribosomal RNA is filed under the name uncultured bacterium. Its description in RNAcentral is "partial 16S ribosomal RNA". It matches the Rfam family "Bacterial small subunit ribosomal RNA", at positions 524 to 776 of the family's 1533-position model. The record is from RNAcentral.